CCUACGGGAGGCAGCAGUGGGGAAUAUUGGACAAUGGGGGCAACCCUGAUCCAGCCAUGCCGCGUGUGUGAAGAAGGCCCUCGGGUUGUAAAGCACUUUCAGUGAGGAAGAACGCCUGGUGGUUAAUACCCAUCAGGAAAGACAUCACUCACAGAAGAAGCACCGGCUAACUCCGUGCCAGCAGCCGCGGUAAUACGGAGGGUGCGAGUGUUAAUCGGAAUUACUGGGCGUAAAGCGCGCGUAGGUGGCUUGAUAAGCCGGUUGUGAAAGCCCCGGGCUCAACCUGGGAACGGCAUCCGGAACUGUCAAGCUAGAGUGCAGGAGAGGAAGGUAGAAUUCCCGGUGUAGCGGUGAAAUGCGUAGAGAUCGGGAGGAAUACCAGUGGCGAAGGCGGCCUUCUGGACUGACACUGACACUGAGGUGCGAAAGCGUGGGUAGCAAACAGGAUUAGAUACCCCAGUAGUC
RNAcentral lists this ribosomal RNA (465 nucleotides) under Vreelandella stevensii. RNAcentral describes it as "partial 16S ribosomal RNA". It matches the Rfam family "Bacterial small subunit ribosomal RNA", at positions 338 to 795 of the family's 1533-position model. The record is from RNAcentral. Lineage: Bacteria; Pseudomonadati; Pseudomonadota; Gammaproteobacteria; Oceanospirillales; Halomonadaceae.